Molecule: ribosomal RNA, 253 nt
Filed under: uncultured bacterium
Lineage: Bacteria
Description: partial 16S ribosomal RNA
Rfam family: Bacterial small subunit ribosomal RNA
Source: RNAcentral
UACGUAGGAGGCGAGCGUUGUCCGGAAUUACUGGGUGUAAAGCGCGCGUAGGUGGGAGGCCAAGUCUGUGGUGAAAGCGCCCGGCUCAACUGGGCAUGGUCCAUGGAAACUGGUCACCUGGAGGACGGUAGAGGCGAGUGGAAUUCCCGGUGUAGUGGUGAAAUGCGUAGAGAUCGGGAGGAACACCAGUGGCGAAGGCGACUUACUGGACACAUAUUGACGCUGAGGUGCGAAAGCGUGGGGAGCGAACAGG